Molecule: ribosomal RNA, 466 nt
Filed under: uncultured bacterium
Lineage: Bacteria
Description: bacterial SSU rRNA
Rfam family: Bacterial small subunit ribosomal RNA
Source: RNAcentral
UCCAGACUCCUACGGGAGGCAGCAGUGAGGAAUAUUGGUCAAUGGGCGGGAGCCUGAACCAGCCAAGUCGCGUGAGGGAAGACGGUCCUACGGAUUGUAAACCUCUUUUGCCGGGGAGCAAGGGCGGGGACGUGUCCCGGCCCGGAGAGUACCCGGAGAAAAAGCAUCGGCUAACUCCGUGCCAGCAGCCGCGGUAAUACGGAGGAUGCGAGCGUUAUCCGGAUUUAUUGGGUUUAAAGGGUGCGUAGGCGGGCUUUUAAGUCAGCGGUAAAAAUUCGGGGCUCAACCCCGUCCGGCCGUUGAAACUGGGGGCCUUGAGUGGGCGAGAAGAAGGCGGAAUGCGUGGUGUAGCGGUGAAAUGCAUAGAUAUCACGCAGAACCCCGAUUGCGAAGGCAGCCUUCCGGCGCCCUACUGACGCUGAGGCACGAAAGCGUGGGGAUCGAACAGGAUUAGAUACCCUUGUAA